Gorilla gorilla gorilla (western lowland gorilla) is the source of this 2678-nucleotide RNA transcript. It is a transcript of the gene named solute carrier family 22 member 10, with no coding region annotated. The record is from RefSeq and is a predicted model, not a curated record. The transcript has 12 exons. Lineage: Eukaryota; Metazoa; Chordata; Mammalia; Primates; Hominidae.
UCUAUGAAAUAAUGAUCUCUAUGACUACAAAAUAACAUCUACCUCCUGAUCGCAAAAGAACUGAGGAAGCUCUUUCCACUACGGCUGUAUUGCGCUGCUGAGUCCGGGCCCAUGGAUGAGAAAUUGAUGCGAGGAUCAAUGCAAGCUUAAUUUGAAUUAAUAAAAGGAAAUAUUUUCUCCCUUUGAACUUAUCUCCGUAAAGCCAUUGUGCCUCCUCUUGGGGGUCACAUGUUCACAAUCAAUGGCCUUUGAGGAGCUCUUGAGUCAAGUUGGAGGCCUUGGGAGGUUUCAGAUCCUUCAUCUGGUUUUUAUUCUUCCCUCUCUCAUGGUAUUAAUCCCUCAUAUACUGCUAGAGAACUUUGCUGCAGCCAUUCCUGGUCAUCGUUGCUGGGUCCACAUGCUGGACAAUAAUACUGGAUCUGGUAAUGAAACUGGAAUCCUCAGUGAAGAUGCCCUCCUGAGAAUUUCUAUCCCACUAGACUCAAAUCUGAGGCCAGAGAAGUGUCGUCGCUUCGUCCAUCCCCAGUGGCAGCUUCUUCACCUGAAUGGGACUAUCCACAGCACAAGUGAGGCAGACACAGAACCCUGUGUGGAUGGCUGGGUAUAUGAUCAAAGCUACUUCCCUUCGACCAUUGUGACUAAGUGGGACCUGGUAUGUGAUUAUCAGUCACUGAAAUCAGUGGUUCAAUUCCUACUUCUGACUGGAAUGCUGGUGGGAGGCAUCAUAGGUGGCCAUGUCUCAGACAGGUUUGGGCGAAGAUUUAUUCUCAGAUGGUGUUUGCUCCAGCUUGCCAUCACUGACACCUGUGCUGCCUUCGCUCCCACCUUCCCUGUUUACUGUGUACUCCGCUUCUUGGCAGGUUUUUCUUCCAUGAUCAUUAUAUCGAAUAAUUCUUUGCUCAUUACUGAGUGGAUAAGGCCCAACUCUAAAGCCCUGGUAGUAAUAUUGUCAUCUGGUGCCCUUAGUAUUGGACAGAUAAUCCUGGGAGGCUUGGCUUAUGUCUUCCGAGAUUGGCAAACCCUGCAUGUGGUGGCGUCUGUACCUUUCUUUGUCUUCUUUCUUCUUUCAAGGUGGCUGGUGGAAUCUGCUCGGUGGUUGAUAAUCACCAAUAAACUAGAUGAGGGCUUAAAGGCACUUAGAAAAGUUGCACGCACAAAUGGAAUAAAGAAUGCUGAAGAAACCCUGAACAUAGAGGUUGUAAGAUCCACCAUGCAGGAGGAACUGGAUGCAGCACAGACCAAAACUACUGUGUGUGACUUGUUCCGCAACCCCAGUAUGCGUAAAAGGAUCUGUAUCCUGGUAUUUUUGAGAUUUGCAAACACAAUACCUUUUUAUGGUACCAUGGUCAAUCUUCAGCAUGUGGGGAGCAACAUUUUCCUGUUGCAGGUACUUUAUGGAGCUGUCGCUCUCAUAGUUCGAUGUCUUGCUCUUUUGACACUAAAUCAUAUGGGCCGUCGAAUAAGCCAGAUAUUGUUCAUGUUCCUGGUGGGCCUUUCCAUUUUGGCCAACACGUUUGUGCCCAAAGAAAUGCAGACCCUGCGUGUGGCUUUGGCAUGUCUGGGAGUCGGCUGUUCUGCUGCUACUUUUUCCAGUGUUGCUGUUCACUUCAUUGAACUCAUCCCCACUGUUCUCAGGGCAAGAGCUUCAGGAAUAGAUUUAACGGCUAGUAGGAUUGGAGCAGCACUGGCUCCCCUCUUGAUGACCUUAACGGUAUUUUUUACCACUUUGCCAUGGAUCAUUUAUGGAAUCUUCCCCAUCAUUGGUGGCCUUAUUGUCUUCCUCCUACCAGAAACCAAGAAUCUGCCUUUGCCUGACACCAUCAAGGAUGUGGAAAAUCAAAAAAAAAUCUCAAGAAAAAGGCAUAAAAAUGAUUGCUACACAAAAGUGACCAAAUUUUAAGAAGCCUUCAUGAGCUGAUUGGUGCCCAGAUUUCUUAUAGUUCAAACACACAUACUCUACAACUUGUGCAGUUAACGCAAUCAUCACAGGGUCCUGAGGCAACAUACAUCCUCCUCAGCUGACGUGAUCACAGGAUUAAGAGAUUAAAGAGAGAGCGCCAAGAUGGCCGAAUAUGAACAGCUCCGGUCUACAGCUCCCAGCGUGAGCGACACAGAUGAUGAGUGAUUUCUGCAUUUCCAUCUGAGGAGUUCCGUCUACCCUGGCUGAUAGUAUUGCUACAAGAUGACACUGUCAAGACAGAAGUGCCUGAGGAAAGGUAGAGACAACAAUUCAGGAAAAGAGGCCAGCCUGAAACCAUCUGAUAGUUUAUAUCUCAGCUUCAUGGCUUUUCUCUUAUUGUACCUCACCUUCCCCCUGCCACCAACCCACAUUCCGGCUGCAUUAAACAAUUUUCAGUUCUCUGACCACCACAAAUUUUGGUGCCUUUGGGGCCUUUGGAUGAGCUUGUUCUCCCUUCUUCCCACAUGCUUAGCUCAUGGCAUCUCCUUGAUGAUGCAUUUUCUGGCCCACCCAGGUAAAAACGACCACUCCUCCUUUGGCAUCUACUGUAUCCUGUACAUUCUUCUAUCAGCAGACUAUAACACUUUAUUGCACAUAUUUAUAAACUUUCAUGUUUCUGACUUAGCAAGCUACAGACUCCCUAACAGUAGAGAACAUUUGUUCAUCUCUCUGUCACUAAAUGUUUGUGUGUGUACAACUAUGAUCCUUCAUUCCUAAA